This 253-nucleotide ribosomal RNA is filed under the name uncultured bacterium. RNAcentral describes it as "partial 16S ribosomal RNA". It matches the Rfam family "Bacterial small subunit ribosomal RNA", at positions 524 to 776 of the family's 1533-position model. The record is from RNAcentral.
UACGUAGGGUGCAAGCGUUGUCCGGAAUUAUUGGGCGUAAAGAGCUCGUAGGCGGUUUGUUGCGUCGGCUGUGAAAUCCCGAGGCUCAACCUCGGGUCUGCAGUCGAUACGGGCAGACUAGAGGUAUGCAGGGGAGAACGGAAUUCCUGGUGUAGCGGUGGAAUGCGCAGAUAUCAGGAGGAACACCGGUGGCGAAGGCGGUUCUCUGGGCAUUACCUGACGCUGAGGAGCGAAAGUGUGGGGAGCGAACAGG